UUCGGGCUCGGCUCGACUCUCCCACCCUUUGUGACGUACCUCUGUUGCUUUGGCGGCUCCGGCCGCCUAGGACCUCCAAACUCCAGUCAGUAAACGCAGACGUCUGAUAAACAAGUUAAUAAACUAAAACUUUCAACAACGGAUCUCUUGGUUCUGGCAUCGAUGAAGAACGCAGCGAAAUGCGAUAAGUAAUGUGAAUUGCAGAAUUCAGUGAAUCAUCGAAUCUUUGAACGCACAUUGCGCCCCUUGGUAUUCCGGGGGGCAUGCCUGUUCGAGCGUCAUUACAACCCUCAAGCUCUGCUUGGAAUUGGGCACCGUCCUCACUGCGGACGCGCCUCAAAGACCUCGGCGGUGGCUGUUCAGCCCUCAAGCGUAGUAGAAUACACCUCGCUUUGGAGUGGUUGGCGUCGCCCGCCGGACGAACCUUCUGAACUUUUCUCAAGGUUGACCUCGGAUCAGGUAGGGAUACCCGCUGAACUUAAGCAUAUCAAUAGGCGGAGG
This 501-nucleotide ribosomal RNA is filed under the name Lasiodiplodia theobromae. RNAcentral describes it as "eukaryotic LSU rRNA". The stretch from base 128 to 281 matches the Rfam family "5.8S ribosomal RNA". The record is from RNAcentral. Lineage: Eukaryota; Fungi; Ascomycota; Dothideomycetes; Botryosphaeriales; Botryosphaeriaceae.